UGAAGCGGGAAAAGCUCAAAUUUAAAAUCUGGCUGCCUCCGGUGGUCCGAGUUGUAAUCUGGAGAAGCGUUUUCCGCGUCGGACCGUGUACAAGUCUUCUGGAACGGAGCGUCAUAGAGGGUGAGAAUCCCGUCUCUGACACGGACUACCGAUGCUUUUGUGAUGCGCUCUCGAAGAGUCGAGUUGUUUGGGAAUGCAGCUCAAAAUGGGAGGUAAAUUCCUUCUAAAGCUAAAUAUUGGCUAGAGACCGAUAGCGAACAAGUACCGUGAGGGAAAGAUGAAAAGCACUUUGGAAAGAGAGUUAAACAGUACGUGAAAUUGUUGAAAGGGAAACGCUUGAAGUCAGUCGCGUUGAUCGAGACUCAGCCUGGCUUGCCUGGUGUACUUCUCGGUUGACGGGUCAGCAUCAGUUUUGACCGCCGGAUAAAGGUUGGAGGAAUGUGGCAUCCUUCGGGAUGUGUUAUAGCCUCUGAUUCGCAUACGGCGAUUGGGACUGAGGAACUCAGCACGCCUUUAUGGUCGGGGUUCGCCCACGUAACGUGCUUAGGAUGCUGGCAUAAUGGCUUUAAGCGACCCGUCUUGAAACACGGACCAAGGAGUCUAACAUGCCCGCGAGUGUUUGGGUGUCAAACCCGAGCGCGUAAUGAAAGUGAAAGUUGAGAUCCCUGUCGUG
RNAcentral lists this ribosomal RNA (673 nucleotides) under Athelia arachnoidea. RNAcentral's name for it is "partial large subunit ribosomal RNA". It matches the Rfam family "Eukaryotic large subunit ribosomal RNA", at positions 94 to 752 of the family's 3401-position model. The record is from RNAcentral. Lineage: Eukaryota; Fungi; Basidiomycota; Agaricomycetes; Atheliales; Atheliaceae.